RNAcentral lists this ribosomal RNA (416 nucleotides) under Streptococcus lutetiensis. RNAcentral's name for it is "bacterial SSU rRNA". It matches the Rfam family "Bacterial small subunit ribosomal RNA", at positions 57 to 463 of the family's 1533-position model. Lineage: Bacteria; Bacillati; Bacillota; Bacilli; Lactobacillales; Streptococcaceae. The record is from RNAcentral.
GCAAGUAGAACGCUGAAGACUUUAGCUUGCUAAAGUUGGAAGAGUUGCGAACGGGUGAGUAACGCGUAGGUAACCUGCCUACUAGCGGGGGAUAACUAUUGGAAACGAUAGCUAAUACCGCAUAACAGCAUUUAACACAUGUUAGAUGCUUGAAAGGAGCAAUUGCUUCACUAGUAGAUGGACCUGCGUUGUAUUAGCUAGUUGGUGAGGUAACGGCUCACCAAGGCGACGAUACAUAGCCGACCUGAGAGGGUGAUCGGCCACACUGGGACUGAGACACGGCCCAGACUCCUACGGGAGGCAGCAGUAGGGAAUCUUCGGCAAUGGGGGCAACCCUGACCGAGCAACGCCGCGUGAGUGAAGAAGGUUUUCGGAUCGUAAAGCUCUGUUGUAAGAGAAGAACGUGUGUGAGAGUG